GAUGAACGCUGGCGGCGUGCCUAAUACAUGCAAGUCGAGCGAACGGACGAGAAUCUUGCUUCUCUGAUGUUAGCGGCAGACGUGUGAGUAACACGUGUAUAACCUACCUAUAAGACUGGGAUAACUUCGGGAAACCGGAUCUAAUACCGGAUAAUAUUUUGAACCGCAUUGUUCAAAAGUGAAAGUCGGUCUUGGUGUCACUUAUAGAUGGAUCCGCGCUUCAUUAGCUAGUUGGUAAGGUAACGGCUUACCAAGGCAACGAUGCAUAGCCGACCUGAGAGGGUGAUCGGCCACCCUGGAACUGAGACACGGUCCAGACUCCUACGGGAGGCAGCAGUAGGGAAUCUUCCGCAAUGGGCGAAAGCCUGACGGAGCAACGCCGCGUGAGUGAUGAAGGUCUUCGGAUCGGAAAACUCUGUUAUUAGGGAAGAACAUAUGUGUAAGUAACUGUGCACAUCUUGACGGUACCUAAUCAGAAAGCAACGGCUAACUACGUG
Molecule: ribosomal RNA, 497 nt
Filed under: uncultured bacterium
Lineage: Bacteria
Description: partial 16S ribosomal RNA
Rfam family: Bacterial small subunit ribosomal RNA
Source: RNAcentral